ACACGACUACAUUAGAUACCCGCGUAGUCCUAGCCGUAAACGAUACUCGCUAGGUGUCGGCCACGGUGCGACCGUUGUCGGUGCCGUAGGGAAGCCGUGAAGCGAGCCACCUGGGAAGCACGGCCGCAAGGCUGAAACUUAAAGGAAUUGGCGGGGGAGCACAACAACGGGUGGAGCUUGCGGUUUAAUUGGAUUCAACGCCGGAAAUCUUACCGGGACCGACAGCAACAUGAAGGCCAAGCUGAAGACUUUGCCGGAUUAGCUG
RNAcentral lists this ribosomal RNA (265 nucleotides) under uncultured archaeon. RNAcentral's name for it is "partial 16S ribosomal RNA". It matches the Rfam family "Archaeal small subunit ribosomal RNA", at positions 717 to 982 of the family's 1478-position model. The record is from RNAcentral.